This 147-nucleotide transfer RNA is filed under the name Mytilinidion resinicola. It matches the Rfam family "tRNA". Rfam says of the family: Transfer RNA (tRNA) molecules are approximately 80 nucleotides in length. Lineage: Eukaryota; Fungi; Ascomycota; Dothideomycetes; Mytilinidiales; Mytilinidiaceae. The record is from Rfam by way of RNAcentral.
UCCUCAAUGGUCUAGUGGUCAUGAUUUCCGCUUGUCAAAGCACCUUGCUUAACAAGCGCGGGAGAGUAAGCUACCACAAUUAACCAUUCAUGAUUACAAUCAUGCUAACGGAUGUUGGCAGCCAGGGUUCGAUUCCCUGUUGGGGAG